CCCCAGAACCAUCGAACAGGGCAUUUCAGUAAUGUUUUCUUAUCUCUUCUGUCUUACUCCCGUUUCUAUCUCUACUAAUCUUUAUCUCACACUCCCUAUUUUCUAAAUUAUAAAAUGUACUAUAAUUCUAACAAACCCUCUAUUUUUUUGCCUAAGUGUUUCUCUUUGUCUUCUUCUAUUUUAUUUCCCUGAGUGUAAUUCUCUCCUCUUCCUGUAACCUAAUUAAGCUCUCUAGCUCGUCUAAAUCCAACACCACCGCUACUUCUUCUCUCCUCUUCCUCCGGCUUUGUCCAUCGUCCUCUCCACACCACCGCUGCUUCUCUCCUCUUCCUCUGGCCUCGUCCUAUGUUCUCUCGCCUCCGUCGUCUCAGAUGACAUCAAAAACAAAGCGACUACAGACAGCCAACUACCAUGCCAGUGUGACACAAGAUUCAUCUCACACACAGCCCAGUUUCAGGCCAACUACCAUGCCGCCGGGAGCUACCAUGCCACCAGGAACUACUGGUGUAUCUUCUAAUGGUCCUACCAUGCCACCAGGAGCUACUGGCUUGUCUUCUAAUGGUGCUAACAUGCCACCAGGAGCUACUGAUGGAGCUACCUGUAUCCUAACUUGAAGCUGCUAAUGGAGAUGCUGAUGGAUCUCCACUUCCUUCUCACACUCAUCUCAUCAACCAAACAUUUCUAGAGAUAAAUAAACCCAAAAAAGGUCGUAUUUAUGGACUGGGCAGCGCUCAAGAUAAGGAUGUCAGCCCAAACGAGACUUCACAUCUUGCCCGCAAUCUUGACAUGGAUAUGCGGUUGUCUAGCUUAGAGACUAAUGUAGAAGCAGUUAAAGCAGAUAUGGCAAUGCUGAAAGAGGAUGUGAUGAUGCUCAAGGAUGACAUGAAGGUGGUAAAGGAAUGUGCAGCAUCAAUGAAAGCUUCAACACAUGUGAUUCUAAGGGGUAUUGGCAUUGAUCCCAUAACUCACAAAUGGAUCACACCCUCACGUUCUCGUCCCAUGGUUAGUGAAUCAGCCCCUGCCUCCCUACUCUACAACCUCAUAACAAUAAUAAUGAGGAAUGAUAUGAUUAUGGGUUGGUCUUUUGGAUUAAAAUCAUGUAUCUAUGUUUAUUGUAAACCAAAAAUAUUUGGAUUAUAUUAAUGUUCAGUCCUUAUUAUAUUUUUGUAAACCAAAAAAGCUUUCUAAUUUUUAUGUUGUUUUCAUACAAAGCUAUAAUUUUUGACAA
Long non-coding RNA from Camelina sativa (false flax), 1228 nucleotides. RefSeq lists it as uncharacterized. Lineage: Eukaryota; Viridiplantae; Streptophyta; Magnoliopsida; Brassicales; Brassicaceae. The record is from RefSeq and is a predicted model, not a curated record.